AACGAACGCUGGCGGCAUGCCUAACACAUGCAAGUCGAACGAAGCCUUCGGGCUUAGUGGCGCACGGGUGCGUAACGCGUGGGAAUCUGCCCCUUGCUUCGGAAUAACAGUUAGAAAUGACUGCUAAUACCGGAUGAAGUCUUCGGACCAAAGAUUUAUCGGCAAGGGAUGAGCCCGCGUAGGAUUAGGUAGUUGGUGGGGUAAAGGCCUACCAAGCCGACGAUCCUUAGCUGGUCUGAGAGGAUGAUCAGCCACACUGGGACUGAGACACGGCCCAGACUCCUACGGGAGGGAGCCAGGGGGAAUAUUGGAACAUGGACGCAAGUCCUAUCCAGCAAUGCCGCGUGAGUUAAGAAGGGCUUAGGGUUGUAAAGCUCUUUUACCAGGGAUGAUAAUGACAGUACCUGGAGAAUAAGCUCCGGCUAACUCCGUG
Molecule: ribosomal RNA, 433 nt
Filed under: uncultured bacterium
Lineage: Bacteria
Description: partial 16S ribosomal RNA
Rfam family: Bacterial small subunit ribosomal RNA
Source: RNAcentral